ACUGCAUGACACAUGAACAUCGACAUUUCGAACGCACAUUGCGGUCCUCGGAUUCUGUUCCCGGACCACUCCUGGCUGAGGGUCGUAUCU
This 90-nucleotide ribosomal RNA is filed under the name Lissorhoptrus oryzophilus (rice water weevil). RNAcentral describes it as "partial 5.8S ribosomal RNA". Lineage: Eukaryota; Metazoa; Arthropoda; Insecta; Coleoptera; Erirhinidae. The record is from RNAcentral.